This 536-nucleotide ribosomal RNA is filed under the name uncultured Bacilli bacterium. RNAcentral describes it as "bacterial SSU rRNA". It matches the Rfam family "Bacterial small subunit ribosomal RNA", at positions 93 to 618 of the family's 1533-position model. Lineage: Bacteria; Bacillati; Bacillota; Bacilli. The record is from RNAcentral.
CGGCCGCGUCGACGUGAGUAACGCGUAGGUAACCUGCCUUGUAGCGGGGGAUAACUAUUGGAAACGAUAGCUAAUACCGCAUAACAAUGGAUGACACAUGUCAUUUAUUUGAAAGGGGCAAUUGCUCCACUACAAGAUGGACCUGCGUUGUAUUAGCUAGUAGGUGAGGUAAUGGCUCACCUAGGCGACGAUACAUAGCCGACCUGAGAGGGUGAUCGGCCACACUGGGACUGAGACACGGCCCAGACUCCUACGGGAGGCAGCAGUAGGGAAUCUUCCGCAAUGGACGAAAGUCUGACGGAGCAACGCCGCGUGAGUGAUGAAGGGUUUCGGCUCGUAAAACUCUGUUGUUAAGGAAGAAUACUUGAGGUAGUAACUGGCCUUGAGAUGACGGUACUUAACCAGAAAGCCACGGCUAACUACGUGCCAGCAGCCGCGGUAAUACGUAGGUGGCAAGCGUUAUCCGGAAUUAUUGGGCUAAAGCGCGCGUAGGCGAUAGCCAUAACGGCCUUGAUGAUGAUUAAAGAUUUCUUUAG